UUCUCCUAAAGACUACGCCAUGCAUGCCUUCGAACACGAGGAAGCAAUUCUCUCUGAAUCUGCCAACGGCUCCGCAAACCAGUUGUAAACCAAAGCAAGCAUACUCGUGGUCUGCCCUUCACGGGGUGGGCUGCGGGUGAUACGGAUAACCCUGGUAAUUCUGAGGCUAAUACGAGACUGUACUCCCUGGCUAACCGGGCAACUGGUAGGCUGGGGGGCGUGUGAUCUAUUUGCAAGACGAUUCCAGGAAGGGGUGCACGCUCUGACCGCGAUAAAGACAGUUCUGGUGGACCCUCACGGGCGAGCCAGUUCUGAGCGGCUCUUGCGAUGUGCUUCUGACCUAUCAACUAGAUGGCAGCGUAACGGACAUGCCAUGGUUACAACGGGUACAGAGGAUUAGGGUUCGAUCCUGGAGAGUGGGCCUGAGAGAUUGCUCAUACUUCUAAGGAAGGCAGCAGGCGCGCAACGUUCCCCUUGGGCAAUGCCCGAGGGCGUUAGGGGACAUAUGAAUGGUUGCCUUUUAGGUGGCCAAUUCAAAUGGGUCUGUUCUAAACAGCCUCUCGAGUAACAAUUAGAGGACAAGUCUGGUGCCAGCACCCGCGGUAAUUCCAGCUCUAAUAGCAUACGUUAAAGUUGUUGCGGUUAAAACGCUCGUAGUCGGCUUCAGAUCAUCAAACGCCCGAGACGGGAACCUGGCUGCUGCCUUCAAAGGCGCUCCGGGCAACUGACGAAGGCUGACGGUGGUCAAGCGUGCCUCAGGCUGUAUCUUCGGAUUCACAGGGCCCGGCUUCACGGCUGGGUUCGGCUUGGGGUGCCACUUACCAUGACUAAACCGGCUCGAUCAAGAAAGGUCACGACGAUCUUGCACGGCACAGCAUGGCAUAAGCAUCACUGGCCCGGGAUUCCUUGCAGGUCCUGGGUUGGUAGAAGCAAAAGGGGUGUUCGAGGGUGACCGAAUUGCUGGGCGAGUGGUGAAAUACGUUGACCCUAGCAAGUCGACCAAAGGCGAAAGCAGUCAUCAAGGGCAUUCCCGUUGAUCAAGAGCGAAAGUUAAGGGUUCGAAGACGAUCAGAUACCGUCGUAGUCUUAACUAUAAAUGAUACUGACCAGAGAUAGGAUUCUGUCCAUCUCGACUUCUCCUGGAUCUUUGAGAAAUUAUAGUCUUUGAGUUCUGGGGGGAGUAUGGUCGCAAGGCUGAAACUUAAAGGAAUUGACGGAAGGGCACACAAAGAGUGGAACCUGCGGCUUAAUUUGACUCAACACGGGAAAACUCACCAGGUCCGGAUACACGUAUGAAAGACAAGCUGAAAGACUUUUCUCAAUGAUGUAAGUGGUGGUGCAUGGUCGUUCUUAGUUCGUGGAUUGAUUUGUCUGGUCUAUUCCGAUAACGAGCGAGACCCCGGCGUUCCUAAUAGGGGUGGCAGCCCGGCUCGUCCCUCACGGGACUUGCUAGCAGCCACUUAAGAUGUACUUCUUAGACGUAUCAGAGCCGAUAAGGUUCUUGAAAUGGGUUAAUAACAGGUCAGUCAUGCCCUUAGAUGUUCUGGGCCGCACGCGCGUUACAAUGGCAUGGUAUACACAGUGCCUAAAAGGGCGUAUCCGGGGCCUACAGGCCUCGGUAACCCUUAGUCCCUGCCUUGACUGGGACAGACUAUUGCAAUUAUUGGUCUCAAACGAGGAAUUUUUAGUAGUCGUAGGUCAUUAACCUGCGACGAAUGCGUCCCUGCCCUUUGUACACACCGCCCGUCGCUGCUACCGAUUGGGUUUUGCGGUUACGAGUUCAGAGGAUGUGGCUCCCUGCCUGCCUUCGGGUAGGCAGUAACUGUGACCAAAGUUCUAAUUGCCGCACGGCCUAGAGGAAGCAGAAGUCGAACAAG
This 1877-nucleotide ribosomal RNA is filed under the name Diderma europaeum. Its description in RNAcentral is "SSU rRNA". It matches the Rfam family "Eukaryotic small subunit ribosomal RNA". Lineage: Eukaryota; Evosea; Eumycetozoa; Physariida; Didymiaceae. The record is from RNAcentral.